UGGUGGUCAUGGCGGGGUGGCUGCACCCGUUCCCAUUCCGAACACGGCCGUGAAACGCCCCAGCGCCAAUGGUACUUCGUCUUAAGACGCGGGAGAGUAGGUCGCCGCCAGGUC
RNAcentral lists this ribosomal RNA (114 nucleotides) under Sinorhizobium sp. RAC02. The record is from RNAcentral. Lineage: Bacteria; Pseudomonadati; Pseudomonadota; Alphaproteobacteria; Hyphomicrobiales; Rhizobiaceae.